Non-coding RNA from Wuchereria bancrofti, 105 nucleotides. Lineage: Eukaryota; Metazoa; Nematoda; Chromadorea; Rhabditida; Onchocercidae. The record is from Rfam.
GGUGUAAUUACCCAAGUUUGAGGUAAUUGAAUGUUUUGACCCAGAGUUUAGGCUGCUGUGGUUUGAAAAAAAUUUUCGGAACGUCCUGCAUGUUUGUGGGACAAU